GAAAUGCGAUACCUGGUGUGAAUUGCAGAAUCCCGCGAACCAUCGAGUCUUUGAACGCAAGUUGCGCCCGAGGCCUCUUGGCCGAGGGCACGCCUGCCUGGGCGUCACGCCAAAUACGCUCCCACACCCCUCAUCGGGAAGGUGGGAUGCGGCAUGUGGCCCCCCGUCAUGCAAGAGGCGGUGGGCCGAAGAUGCGGCUGCCGGCGUAUCGUGUCGGACACAGCGCGUGGUGGGCGACCUCGCUUUACUUACCGCAGUGCAUCCGGCAUGUAGCCGACGUGUUGGCCUCAAUCGACCCUAUAAACGGAGCGCAUGACGCUUCGACCGCGACCCCAGGUCAGGCGGGACUACCCGCUGAGUUUAA
RNAcentral lists this unclassified non-coding RNA (364 nucleotides) under uncultured fungus. RNAcentral describes it as "sequence contains ITS1". The stretch from base 1 to 107 matches the Rfam family "5.8S ribosomal RNA", at positions 50 to 154 of the family's 154-position model. Lineage: Eukaryota; Fungi. The record is from RNAcentral.